CGCAGUAGCCUUCUUUGUGAGACUGCUAGUUAUUUUUUUUAAGAAAACGUUUAUUUUUGCCCUUUGAGCCUUUUCAACAGCUUUCAGUGUUGUGCUCUGCUCCCUGCAUGACUGCAGUGGCAGGAGAGGUGGAAGUCAAGCCCUUGGCUGGUGGUGCUGUGAGCCUUCUCCUCUGCUCCCCUGCAGCCUUGCGUCUCCAUGCAAGCUGUAGCUAUCAUACUUCUGCAGUUCCCAAGGGUGCGCCAUUUACCCACUGAAAAUCCUGGAAGGUUCAGAAAGCCCUAGGUUGCCCCAGUUCAAUCCAGAAGGAAGGGAAUGAUACUGUGUGCAGUCUUUGAAAAGAUCGUAGAGGAACUGGAACGUAAACUGGGAUGACUUAUGAAAAUAAUGCUUUCCCUCAACCCUCCCUGCAUUUCCCCCACCAAAAAUGCUCAGUCCUCAUGAGAAAGCCUCUUCCAUCUCCAUCACCUCCAUUCCCAGCUGUUCCUGAGCCAUAAGUACUUUGCGAGAUUCCUGUACCACUCCUCUCCACCCUGCUUUCUGCUUUUAUCUUAUACCUAAUGCCACUGUGCUUUUCCUUUUCCAUUAACCCAACGGUGUCUCCUGCUCAAGAGAAAUCCCUUCACUGGCUUACUGUCUCCUCCUGGUUCCCAGGUGCUAUGUUACUUCAAUGGUUGCUGCUUCUCCCAGUUCCUCUUAAUUCACAGCCCUUCUCACCUCUGCUCCAGCCCUUCUAGGGUCAGCGCUGUUUCUCGCAUGUGGAAUAAUCCUCCCCUUUUUCUCCAGCGUUUCUCCCUCUGUCCAGUUCAUGCUGUUCCUUUUUUCCCCUCACUUGAGCCUUGAAUUUUUUUGUCAACGGGAGGAUGUAAAGCAUGAUGACAUUAGGGAGUGACAGUGUAUAUCCCCUCUAACUGCCGAAUGUGAGAACUGUCAUCUGCCAGCGCACCUAUGAAAACCAAACGUGCAGUGUGGUCAGCUGUUCCGCGAUCUCAGGUGAAAUCGAGCGCACUGAUACAGAGUGCGGUGAGGGCCAAAGCGCAGCAGAGCUGAGCUGCAGCUGUGAAAGCAAAGGAAGGCUGUGGGAAGCUGGAACAUCUGCUUCCUUCACUUGUUUGUACGUAGCUGAGUCCUCACUCCUCUGUCAAGAAAGUUUGCAAAUCCAAACAACCGCACUGAGACGGAGACUUGGAGAAGAUGAAUCCCCUUUGAUCUUUCUGGCAAAAUGGCUGCAGCCCCACCCCCACCCUUUUGAAGAUUUGUUUUGUUUUCUUUCUAAAGGGAUUUAUGGGCAUUUAAUAACCUAGAGAUUUGCCUUAGUCAGGAUUCAGCCCAUUGCAUUAAUUUCAACAUUUUUUUUAAUAACCAGAAGCUUGGCAUAGUCUGUCUCCUGCCUGUCCCAGAGCAGUUUGCUGCUGAAGACAAAGCACAAGCGCACGUAUAAGCACACACGGCACGUGCCCGAAGCCAAACUCCUCCUUUUUUUUGCUGAUACUGUGGAAGUACACGGAGGUGUAGAAGUACUGUGGAAGUACGUGGAGAAGGCUGCCCAGAUCCUGCCUUUGCAAACCCCAGAAGAGUCCUGCACACCGAGCGCUGCAGUUCCUCACACCGGCUCCCUGGCGCACAUGUGCCACAGGAUGUGUCCCUACUCAGAGCGGGUCUCUCUCCACCCUCGGGCUCAGCACGAGUCUGCUUGGCUGGCCUCUGAUUUCCAUGAAGCUCUUGUGAGCCCCACGACAUGCAGGCAGUCAUGUCGAUGUUCUCUCCCUGUGUCACGUGCGGCUGAAGUCAGCAGCAACUUCUCAAGUCCACGUGCAGAAGGAAAAGCAGCAGAACAAAUGCAGCAAACAAGCCUCAUCUCCACGCAGGGCAGACUAGGAACCCCCAGUUUGGGGCUGGGCAGGGAGGGCUUGGCUGCUCCAGGGUGCGAGUAGUGACUUAGAAAAUGCUAGUAACUGAAUCCCUUUAAAAAUUAGCUUUGUAGGAACGGUAGUUUCUCCUUCGGCUUUUCUCCUUCGGCUCGCAAGUUUGUGGUCUCUGUACACUGGCUUUUUCUCUCGUGCUGCUCAAUGCAGAGAAUGUUCUGUUAUUUGAAGUUACAGAACUUGCAAUAACCUGAUGAAACUA
Columba livia (rock pigeon) is the source of this 2127-nucleotide long non-coding RNA. RefSeq lists it as uncharacterized. The transcript is spliced from 2 exons. NCBI's taxonomy places the organism in Eukaryota, Metazoa, Chordata, Aves, Columbiformes, Columbidae. The record is from RefSeq and is a predicted model, not a curated record.